Molecule: ribosomal RNA, 328 nt
Filed under: uncultured eukaryote
Lineage: Eukaryota
Description: partial 18S ribosomal RNA
Rfam family: Eukaryotic small subunit ribosomal RNA
Source: RNAcentral
UCCUUAGAUGUCCGGGGCUGCACGCGCGCUACACUGAAGGAAUCAGCGUGCUAAAACCAUUGUCGAAAGGCAUUGGUAAACCCAUUAAAAUCCUACGUGAUUGGGAUCGGGAAUUGCAAUUAUUUCCCUUGAACGAGGAAUUCCCAGUAAGUGUGGGUCAUAAGCUCGCGUUGAUUACGUCCCUGCCCUUUGUACACACCGCCCGUCGCUGCCCGGGACUGAGCCGUUUCGAGAAAAGCGGGGACUGCUGCUGUCGGGGCUUUCGGGCCUUGGCUUCGGUGGAAACCGCUUUAAUCGCAGUGGCUUGAACCGGGCAAAANUCGUANCA